AGAGUAUAGAGGCAGCUGUUAUUGCUAUUAACUGGGAAGAAAGGAAUCCGAGAAUAGAAUCUCGGAUGGAAGUUCUAAUAAUUCACAUAGGAAAUCACAUACUCCAGCACCUAAUAGUCCAAUUAGGUGUGAAAAUGAUACAACCUCAGAUUAUUCGAAGAGACCUCCAAGGGGCAAAGCAAAGGGGGUUAAAAAUUUUAAGAACAUAAAGGUCGGGUUGAAGUUCAGUUCAAUGUCAGAGGUCAGCCUUAUGGGGAAUAUGCAUCAGGGUUCUCCUCCUUCCUUGGAGUCAUAGCAAGAGAGUUCGUACCAUUGACAACUGAGUGGAAAAACCUCACUGAUAUGUACAAAAGACAAAUUUGGGAACAUGUCACGAUCAUUGACAAUGAAAGAAGUGAUGCAGCAACCUGAAUCGGUAGGCUUCCACGUGCUGCUGCCCUCCUCAAACCUGAUAAUAUAGAUUCAAUUGAAGUGUGGCUGGAUUUUGUAUAAUUCAGAACCACAGAAGCAUUUAGGGAAAAGUGUGAAGGAUUCAGGUUGAUGCAACAAAGCAAAACCUUAUUGCAUAGAACAAGUAGAAAGAGUUUUGCAUGUUUUGAAGAAGAGCUGAAGCAACAAAGUGAGACACUGGAUGCAAUAUCAAGGCCCGAUAUUUGGCUUCGGGCCUAUGAAGUGAAGAAAAAAGCAAGCUAAGAAGUUGAGGAUCCAGAAAUAGUGAACCUAGUACAAAAAUACAAGGAAGAAGAAGAACACAACCAUGUUCUAUAAAAGUUGAUGCUGUUACAAAGGCACUUGGUCUUGACCUGCGAGGAAAAGUUAGAGGGCUUGGGUUUGGUUCACUCCCUUCAAAAGUGGAUGGUCAGACACAUGUUGCUAAUAAGGUCACUAUGCUAGAGAACGCUCUUGUUUCUCAAACACAACAGGUGGACCAAUUGACAAAGUUAGUGCAAGGCCUCGUUGCUCGGCUAGACAAAGGAGAGAAUGUCAAUGAAAACACAAGUGUGCAGCAUUCUGCUAAUUGGAUUGCACUGAGAAGAUGAAAAGAGAAUCUGAACUGUUCUAGUGAUAUAGCAGAAAGCAAACAGAAAGAUGCAAGUGCUAUAAGUUCUAACAGGGAGAGGGGCAGUAG
Molecule: long non-coding RNA, 1129 nt
Organism: Rosa chinensis
Lineage: Eukaryota; Viridiplantae; Streptophyta; Magnoliopsida; Rosales; Rosaceae
Exons: 6
Source: RefSeq, a predicted model, not a curated record